CACUAGUUGGAGUCGACAAGUUUGGAAACAAAUACUACGAGAGAUUGGAAGACACUCAAUUUGGUAUUCCUCUUUUCUAUUUUCAGAUUUCUGGCACGUAUAAUUUUCCACUUCUUAUGAACACUCUUACACUGUUAUUAAUUCGUAUGCAAAGUAUAUGUUGGUUAAGUGCUUUGCAAAUAUAUGCAGACAAAAUUAUAUUAAAGUUAAUAAAUGUGAAAUUUAUCAGAAACCAUAAGAUAUGAAUAAUUUAACAUUUUACCCAUGUCUUUUUAUUUAAUUUCAAAAUACCCAUUAAAAAACAAAUGAUCAUGACAUGGAAGAGUUGCAAUAGGGUAAAAUUUUGAAUAAUCUAUCCCUUAAUAAAUUAGGAAAAGUAUACCAAGAGACCAAUUACUUUUGGUGUUAGGAGGUCGCAAUCACUCUUGUCAAUCAGAUUUCAAAUUGGGUGGUUGUAAGAGUGUCAUUGACUGAAAGUUCAAAAUUUCUUUUCUCGAACUUUGUAACACACCCCAAGCCAUCCAGUUUGACAUGUAAUGGUUAGGAAUAAUUGUGACCUCCUUGUAACAUAGAUAAAUGGUUUCAUAGUAUACAAUCGCAAUAAAUUACCUUGAUUUUGUUUGAUUGCCAAAAAGGAUCAAGGCUUGUAAAGUUUUCUAAAGUAUGAGUACUUUACAAGCUUUGAAAAGUUUGAUUUUCUAUGCAAUGGAUAUCCAUAAUUACUUGUAUUUUUAUAAGCUUUCCACGAAAAGGGAAAAAAAAGAAGUAAAAAAGGACCUCUGAAUACUAGAAAUGCUAGUUCUCUCAGAAGGAGGUAUUGCUGCAAAGAGUUUGACAGUGAGGAAGGUGACUAGAAACCCCACCCCCCCCCCCCCCCAUCUAUCUCUCAUAUCACCCUAAUAGCAGUCUCAGAUAUCUGGUGCAUGUUCGAUUCAGAAUCUGAGAUUGCAGGUAAGCUGAACAAACCAUCUCUGUUACAUCACAGGAAUGGAGAUGGUUUCGUUUAAUGAUGAAUAUGAAAAGAGAGGGGUUCUCUGGGACAUUCUUUUUCCCCCUUUGUUAGUGUAACAAGAUUAUCAUUUUCCUUGAAAAAGAGAAAAGGCGGACAUUGUCCCCUCAAAUUCAUGAAACUUGGGUUCUUUGGAUUUCUGAAGCCACCAACACUUCCUUACUUUUGGUAGCUUUUUUAGCUUGUAUUGUUCGACUACGUUAUCAACUAAGGUAAAGCAUGAAAAAUUCUUUACUUAUUGAAAACCAGAACAAGACAUAGGUGGGUUGAAUAUGGGGACAAAGGUCGCUACAAUGCUUCUCAGGUUCCCCCAGAAUGGCAUGGUUGGCUCCAUUUCAUUACUGAUCACACUGGUGAUGAAAUGAGUCAAAUAAUUAGUUAAUCAAUAAUACAUUGCCUUCUCAGGAAAGUAUACCAUAAUGAAAAGAUUUUGGAAAACGGCAGUCCAUUGGGUCAUUGCCAUCGAUUGAAAUGAUUGAUGAUGAUGGGGAGAGAGUGGGACAUGCCAUUAUUCAUGUACUGUUGUGGUGGGUCCCAUUCUCUCUGCUGUUCAUCAUUUAAUUGGGAUGGUGAUAACUCUAACAGGAUAUGAAUCUACCAUUAUCUUUUGUUUACAAUAUACUUCCUUGCUCUUGGUAUAUUAGAUUGAAAACCAUAAAGAUGAAGGUCGAUACUGCCUGCCCUAAGGAUCCCAUCUGUUAUUGGGAGUGGAUAUUGGAUGACCUUGACUACCAGUGGUGUACCAUGUGCCAUACACCAGUUGGCACUUUGUACAAACUUUUAUGGUUCUUCUAUGUACAAUUUUGAACAUUUCAGUGUAGAAAUAGCUAUUAUUUGCAUUCAUAUACCCCUUAGGCCAUCUUUUCCUUGAAUUAUUU
This 1887-nucleotide long non-coding RNA is filed under the name Amborella trichopoda. RNAcentral describes it as "long non-coding RNA (ATRI_LNC004543)". The record is from RNAcentral. Lineage: Eukaryota; Viridiplantae; Streptophyta; Magnoliopsida; Amborellales; Amborellaceae.